UUAUUAUUUAAUUUGAAAUAAAUAUUUAAAAAUUCAAAAUCCUUAAAAGCCUUAAAUAAGAUUAUGAUAAUGAACACGAAUACAUCACCUGAAGAAGUAACUUUCGAAGAAUACAGGAAGUCCGAAACCGCUGGGGAAAUUAUGUUAUACCGAGUAUUGACGAAAACGAGAUUUUGAUAAAAUGCUAUAUUAUAAAGAAGGUAAAGCUAUUGCAGAGUCAGCAGAAUUAGCUGGAAUUAUUAAAAACACAGCCACUUCUAUAAUUAGAAGAUAUAAGACGGAUGGAUGUGAGAUUAUUAGACGAAAUCGUGUGGAAAAAGAAAUGUUAAACCAAGUGAUGAGAUUUAAAACUAUGUGGACAAAUUAGUUGAAGAAAUUCUAUCAAUUACUUAAAAAAAAAUUGUUGAAAAUAAAAACGUCAACAUGACCACAACAACGGUAUUUAAUGCAUUAAAAACUUAAAAAAUAACACUAAAAACCGCCACAAUCAACCUGGACCGCUUAAACUCCAAAUCAACAAUUGAACAGCGCACAAAUUAUGCACUAAAUUGAUGAGUCCGGUUUCAACUAUCCUCUUCGCAGAAAUAAAGCUCGAUCGAGGAUAAAUAUUUAAGCCCAUGUAAUUGUUCCAACAACAAGAGGACACAAUGUUUCAUUAAUUUUAGCCAUGAAUUUAAAAGAUAUUAUACAUGUUCAAGUAAUUUCUAACUCAACAGUAAAUUCAAAUGUUUUUAUUACAUUUCUUGAUGGAUUAUUUAAUAAACUUGCUGGAAGUAA
Anastrepha obliqua is the source of this 777-nucleotide long non-coding RNA. RefSeq lists it as uncharacterized. The transcript has 2 exons. The record is from RefSeq and is a predicted model, not a curated record. Lineage: Eukaryota; Metazoa; Arthropoda; Insecta; Diptera; Tephritidae.